Molecule: ribosomal RNA, 296 nt
Filed under: uncultured bacterium
Lineage: Bacteria
Description: partial 16S ribosomal RNA
Rfam family: Bacterial small subunit ribosomal RNA
Source: RNAcentral
UUGUCCGGAAUUACUGGGUGUAAAGGGAGCGUAGGCGGGACGGUAAGUCAGGUGUGAAAUAUACGUGCUCAACAUGUAGACUGCACUUGAAACUGCUGUUCUUGAGUGAAGUAGAGGUAAGCGGAAUUCCCAGUGUAGCGGUGAAAUGCGUAGAUAUUAGGAGGAACAUCGGUGGCGAAGGCGGCUUACUGGGCUUUUACUGACGCUGAGGCUCGAAAGCGUGGGGAGCAAACAGGAUUAGAUACCCUGGUAGUCCACGCUGUAAACGAUGAUUACUAGGUGUGGGGGGACUGACC